AAUCAACGCUGGCGGCGUGCCUCAGACAUGCAAGUCGAACGAUUAAACUUCCCUUCGGGGAAGAUAUAAAGUGGCGCACGGGUGAGUAACACGUAGGUAAUGUACCUUUGGGUGGGGAAUAACUUAGGGAAACUUAAGCUAAUACCGCAUAAUGCAGCGGCUCCUUCGGGAGACAGUUGUUAAAGAUUUAUCGCCUAAAGAGCAGCCUGCGGCAGAUUAGCUAGUUGGUAAGGUAACGGCUUACCAAGGCUACGAUCUGUAUCCGACCUGAGAGGGUGGUCGGACACACUGACACUGAAUAACGGGUCAGACUCCUACGGGAGGCAGCAGUCGGGAAUUUUGGGCAAUGGGCGAAAGCCUGACCCAGCAACGCCGCGUGAAGGAUGAAGUCUUUCGGGAUGUAAACUUCGUAAGAAUAGGAAGAAUAAAUGACGGUACUGUUUGUAAGGUCCGGCUAACUACGUG
RNAcentral lists this ribosomal RNA (465 nucleotides) under uncultured bacterium. Its description in RNAcentral is "partial 16S ribosomal RNA". It matches the Rfam family "Bacterial small subunit ribosomal RNA", at positions 32 to 507 of the family's 1533-position model. The record is from RNAcentral.